GAUGAGCGCUGGCGGUGCGCCUAAUGCAUGCAAGUCGAGCGACGCACUCCGGAGGGGUAACCCACUGGAAUGACGGAGCGGCGAACGGGUGAGUAACACGUGAGCAACCUGCCCCACAGACCGGGAUAGCCCAGGGAAACCUGGAUUAAUACCGGAUACCCUCGUAGGACCGCAUGGUCCAUCGAGGAAAAGCCUUUGUGCUGUGGGAUGGGCUCGCGACUUAUCAGCUAGUUGGUGGGGUAACGGCCUACCAAGGCAUUGACGAGUAGCUGGUCUGAGAGGACGAUCAGCCACACUGGAACUGAGACACGGUCCAGACUCCUACGGGAGGCAGCAGCAGGGAAUCUUGCGCAAUGGGCGAAAGCCUGACGCAGCGACACCGCGUGGGGGAUGAAGGCCUUCGGGUUGUAAACCCCUUUCAGGAGGGAAGAAAUUGACGGUACCUCCACAAGAAGGACCGGCCAACUACGUG
Molecule: ribosomal RNA, 472 nt
Filed under: uncultured bacterium
Lineage: Bacteria
Description: bacterial SSU rRNA
Rfam family: Bacterial small subunit ribosomal RNA
Source: RNAcentral